Chiloscyllium plagiosum (whitespotted bambooshark) is the source of this 474-nucleotide long non-coding RNA. RefSeq lists it as uncharacterized. The record is from RefSeq and is a predicted model, not a curated record. Lineage: Eukaryota; Metazoa; Chordata; Chondrichthyes; Orectolobiformes; Hemiscylliidae.
ACCAGCUUAAAGCGCAGGGCUCUCGCCGAUGGGCUACUCCGACAACCAAUUAAAAUGCCUGCCAUCCCAAAGUUAAAACGUUUCAAACCAAAGCACCUUCUCCAUUCGGCCGGCGGUGCUCAACCUGCGGAGUGUCCCGGACCACAGACCACGUGAUUCCUGAUGACGCUCGGUCACCUCAUCCAAUCAGGGAACAGGGCUCAGCCCCGUCCGGGCAUCACCGAUUCCAACGGGCGGCAGCUGACCGACAGGCUAUACCUUUGUUGGAAGAAACCUUUGAUAUUUUUACUCUACUUGGAUUAAAGACCUUGAAACAUAUAAGCUUUAGAACAAUUUAAUCCUUUUUAAAACACAAUAUUUCUUCAUUGUGUUUAUUUAUUCUUAUAUCUUAAUAUUACACCAUUUUUGUUCCUCAAAUUGAUCCUUCUGUGUUGUUAUCAGUAUCACUGAGUAGGAAACCUGCUUCUGACCACA